This is a long non-coding RNA of Asterias rubens (European starfish), 685 nucleotides long. RefSeq lists it as uncharacterized. Lineage: Eukaryota; Metazoa; Echinodermata; Asteroidea; Forcipulatida; Asteriidae. The transcript is spliced from 3 exons. The record is from RefSeq and is a predicted model, not a curated record.
UGUCGUCUAUGCUUCUCAGGAAACUUCGUCCUGUGUGUGUGAAGGGGAAGAAAGUUGCACGAACACAACAGAAAUUACAUCCAAGCUAGUUAGGGAAAAUAGUUAUCGCUGGCAGGAGUUCGUUGGCCCAGCAGUGGUUAGGAAAAACUAUCAGCAUCGGUGAUGUGCUGACGGACGCCAUGGAUGAUGGAUGAUGACAUGACAGCGACCUACAAAGACAAAAGACCUUCCCGGCAGCUGCUGGUUGGAGUACCGUGGAUGUACUAACUACUAGUGGAAGUUGAAGUAAGACAUGUCCGCUCUGGGUUAGUGCUAUCAACACUUAUGCAAAUUCGCUGACAAUGAAGCGUGCAGGUAGUAGGAGAAACAAAGAAAGGCAGAACGCGAGAAUAGUGAUGCCAUUAGCAACGAGACAACUGAAGGUGAACCACGAUCAAAAGGUUGCUACGCUCUGACACUGGUGAUUCUGAAACGCCUCAGCUGAACGUGCUCCCCGUACAGUGUAUCAUGCAGAUUGAAGAAGAAAGUAUGUAAAGGAAAGGAAAAUAUCACACAGAAGAUUUUCCUGUCAACGAAUCAAUUUCCCCUGCACAGACUUAUGCUUUUGUGCCAAUGGGCCAUAUUUUUGACCGUGUGAGGGCGCUCUCAAUCACUUCCGGGGGUAUAUUCAUUCAUACCCAAAACA